GACGAACGCUGGCGGCGUGCCUAACACAUGCAAGUCGAGCGGAGAGAGAUAGUAAUAUUUCUUUCAGCGGCGGACGGGUGAGUAACACGUGGGUAACCUGCCUCGAAAUGGGGGAUAGCCUUCCGAAAGGAAGAUUAAUACCGCAUAACCUCGGAUCUCCGCAUGGAGGACCGAGAAAAGGAGAAAUCCGUUUCGAGAUGGACCCGCGGCGCAUUAGCUAGUUGGUGAGGUAACGGCCCACCAAGGCGACGAUGCGUAGCCGACCUGAGAGGUGAUCGGCCACAUUGGAACUGAGACACGGUCCAGACUCCUACGGGAGGCUG
This 323-nucleotide ribosomal RNA is filed under the name uncultured Bacillota bacterium. RNAcentral describes it as "bacterial SSU rRNA". It matches the Rfam family "Bacterial small subunit ribosomal RNA", at positions 28 to 351 of the family's 1533-position model. The record is from RNAcentral. Lineage: Bacteria; Bacillati; Bacillota.